This 199-nucleotide unclassified non-coding RNA is filed under the name soil metagenome. Its description in RNAcentral is "partial internal transcribed spacer 1". The record is from RNAcentral.
CCGAGUUUACAACUCCCAAACCCAAUGUGAACCGUACCAAACUGUUGCCUCGGCGGGGAUCACUGCCCCGGGUGCGUCGCAGCCCCGGAACCAAGGCGCCCGCCGGAGGGACCAACCAAACUCUUUCUGUAUACCCCUCGCGGACGUUUUUUUCUUAAUCUGAGCUCUCGGAGCAUAGUAGAGUUUCGAAAAUGAAUCA